This 375-nucleotide ribosomal RNA is filed under the name uncultured bacterium. Its description in RNAcentral is "bacterial SSU rRNA". It matches the Rfam family "Bacterial small subunit ribosomal RNA", at positions 29 to 399 of the family's 1533-position model. The record is from RNAcentral.
AACUAACGCUGGCGGCGUGCCUAACACAUGCAAGUCGAACGAGAAAGCCGCAAGGUGAGUAAAGUGGCGGACGGGUGCGUAACACGUGGGUAAUCUACCUUUUGGCUUGGGAUAACGCCUAGAAAUGGGCGCUAAUACCGGAUAAGACCACAGCCCUGAGGGGUGGUGGGAAAAGGCGCUCGCAAGGGUGCCACCGAUUGAUGAGCCCGCGGCCUAUCAGCUUGUUGGUGAGGUAAAAGCNCACCAAGGCUACGACGGGUAACUGGUCUGAGAGGACGACCAGUCACACUGGAACUGAGACACGGUCCAGACUCCUGCGGGAGGCAGCAGUGGGGAAUAUUGCGCAAUGGGCGAAAGCCUGACGCAGCAACGCCG